AGCGAACGCUGGCGGUAUGCCUAACACAUGCAAGUCGAACAGCAGCACAGUAAGAGCUUGCUCUUACGGGUGGCGAGUGGCGGACGCGUGACGAAUACAUCGGAAUCUACUUUUUCGUGGGGGAUAACGUAGGGUAACUUACGCUAAUCCCGCAUACGACCUACGGGUGAAAGCAGGGGAUCUUCUGACCUUGCGCUAUUGAAUGAGCCGAUGUCGGAUUAGCUAGUUGGCGGGGCAAAGGCCCACCAAAGCGACGAUCCGUAGCUGGUCUGAGAGGAUGAUAAGACACACUGGAACUGAGACACAGGCCAGACUCCUACGGGAGGCAGCAGUGGGGAAUAUUGGACAAAGGGCGCAAGAGUGAUACAGCCAAACCGCGGAGGUAAAGAAGGAGUUAGGGUGGUAAAGCGCUAUUGUUGGGAAAGAAAAGCAGCAGGUUAAUACCCAACUGUAAUGACAGUACACAAAGAAUAAGCACCGGCUAACUUCGUG
RNAcentral lists this ribosomal RNA (492 nucleotides) under uncultured bacterium. RNAcentral describes it as "partial 16S ribosomal RNA". It matches the Rfam family "Bacterial small subunit ribosomal RNA", at positions 29 to 507 of the family's 1533-position model. The record is from RNAcentral.